UGGACCAGUGAUGACAACUGCCGGCGUAUGAGUCCUGCAAGAUGAAUAAUAUGUAUCUGAAACUCUGAGGUCCAA
RNAcentral lists this small nucleolar RNA (75 nucleotides) under Carlito syrichta (Philippine tarsier). RNAcentral's name for it is "Small nucleolar RNA SNORD113/SNORD114 family (ENSTSYG00000027141.1)". It matches the Rfam family "Small nucleolar RNA SNORD113/SNORD114 family". From Rfam's summary of the family: The imprinted human domain at 14q32 contains two clusters of tandemly repeated small nucleolar RNAs named 14q(I) and 14q(II) snoRNAs. These two clusters are named SNORD113 and SNORD114 respectively in the HGNC approved gene symbol nomenclature. The snoRNAs found in both clusters are clearly related and are represented here by a single family. Lineage: Eukaryota; Metazoa; Chordata; Mammalia; Primates; Tarsiidae. The record is from Rfam by way of RNAcentral.